ACCCUCCAGAUUCCUUACUCUACAGAUCUCAAUAUUGGUCUGAGUGUCUAAAAAAGGAGGAAAACUAAAACUGAUGUGGAAUGGGAGUUUUCAGUGACAAGUUCAUUUCAAAUAUAU
RNAcentral lists this small nucleolar RNA (117 nucleotides) under Echinops telfairi (small Madagascar hedgehog). RNAcentral's name for it is "Small nucleolar RNA SNORA61 (ENSETEG00000026109.1)". Lineage: Eukaryota; Metazoa; Chordata; Mammalia; Afrosoricida; Tenrecidae. The record is from RNAcentral.